GAACAAAUGAGCAAAAGGAAGAAGAAACAAAACAUGAUAAAAGAAAAGAGCAAGAUUAAGUAGAGGAAAAGAAAAUGUAGAAGAAGAUAUUGCCAUUGAGAUUAUAUUUAUAGAUCAGGAAGAUAGUGUCAGUUUGAUAGAUGAAGGGGAUAGUGGUAGUUUGAUUGUAGAUGAAGAAGAUAGUGUCAGUUUGAUUGUAGAUGAAGGGAAAAGUUGUAGUUUAGUUGUAGAUCAAGA
Paramuricea clavata is the source of this 237-nucleotide non-coding RNA. The record is from the annotation of a GenBank genome assembly. NCBI's taxonomy places the organism in Eukaryota, Metazoa, Cnidaria, Anthozoa, Malacalcyonacea, Plexauridae.